UCUCAAUGGAUGGAAAACAUCCAAUUUACCGUUAGCUGACCAAGAUAUUGAGUUUGGCCACAUUGUUAAUAUUUUAUAAAAAUAAUUACAUUAAUUAAAUUAAAAAACCCGAAAAAUGAAAAAAAAAAAAGGGAGGAAAAAACUAUAUCUUCUUCUUCCUCCUACCCGUCCCCAACUUACCCAGCCCUUCCCUAACUAAAAUCCGAUCUCAAUAGUUCCAGUUCUUUUCUUUUGCACUGUAAUGAAAUCCCAAAAAUCCUUGGCGGCAAACUUGUAGCAAAAGGAUUUCAACUUGAGAAACAAACCCUCGGAGUUAUCCACUUCAGGCUCUUCAUUCUAGUCCUCACCUUUACACACAGUAAGAUCCUCCGAUAAUACUCCAGAAAUUAAAGAUUUUGUUGCCUUUUCCAAUGAUUCAAAUGCCAUGGACAUCGACUUGGAGAUUGUGGACUCACAAUUAUCAAGGAUUCAAAGAUGUCUGAGUUUCCGAAUUCAAAGCAUGGAGCUUGGCUUUCAACGCAUCUGCUUGCUUCUGGAGGUCCUGUUCAAGGGAAGAUAAGUGAUUGGAGAGUUCCUUCCACAGGAGUGUGUAGCUGGUUAUGAGAGAGAUUUGGCACUGAAACGCAUCGACACUCUGUGACGGUGAAAAUGGUUCGGGAUCGGGCAAUGAACCUAUUGUAAGAGGAAAUUUGAGUUUAUUAUUGCACAGUUUGAGAAAAUGAAAACAAUUUGUGGCGGUUUUGGUUAGGGUAGGGAUGGGUCGGUUGGGGAAGGGAUGGGAGGAAGAAGAAGAUACAAUUUUUUUCCUUUUCUUUCUUUCUUUCCUUUUUUUUUUUUUUUAGGGUUUUUAAAAUUUAAUUAAUGUAAUUAUUUAAUUUGGUAAAUAGAAAGUUAUGAUUUUU
This 902-nucleotide long non-coding RNA is filed under the name Olea europaea subsp. europaea. The record is from RNAcentral. Lineage: Eukaryota; Viridiplantae; Streptophyta; Magnoliopsida; Lamiales; Oleaceae.